UACGAAGGGUACAAGCGUUACUCGGAAUUACUGGGCGUAAAGGGUGCGUAGGUGGUCGUUUAAGUCCGUUGUGAAAUCCCUGGGCUCAACCUGGGAAUGGCAGUGGAUACUGGACGGCUAGAAUGCGGUAGAGGGUAGUGGAAUUCCCGGUGUAGCGGUGAAAUGCGUAGAGAUCGGGAGGAACACCAGAGGCGAAGGCGGCGACCUGGAUAGGGUACUGACACUCAACUACGAAAGCGUGGGGAGCAAACAGG
This 254-nucleotide ribosomal RNA is filed under the name uncultured bacterium. RNAcentral describes it as "partial 16S ribosomal RNA". It matches the Rfam family "Bacterial small subunit ribosomal RNA", at positions 524 to 776 of the family's 1533-position model. The record is from RNAcentral.